GACUACAGGGGUAUCUAAUCCUGUUUGCUCCCCACGCUUUCGCGUCUCAGCGUCAGGACAGGCCCAGUGCCCCGCUUUCGCCGCCGGCGUUCCAACUGAUAUCAACGCAUUUCACCGCUCCACCAGUCGUUCCGGUCACCUCUACCUGCCUCAAGAGAAGCAGUCUGCCGAGCAGUUCCUGGGUUGAGCCCAGGGAUUUCACCCGACACUUACUCCCCCGCCUACACGCCCUUUAAGCCCAGUGAUUCCGAACAACGCUUGCACCCUCCGUAUUACCGCGGCUGCUGGCACGGAGUUAGCCGGUGCUUCCUCUGGGGCUGGUCAUUAUUCCUCACCCCUGACAGCAGUUUACAUCCCGAAGGACUUCCUCCUGCACGCGGCGUCGCUCCGUCAGACUUGCGUCCAUUGCGGAAUAUUCGUUACUGCAGCCCCCCGUAGG
RNAcentral lists this ribosomal RNA (439 nucleotides) under uncultured bacterium. RNAcentral describes it as "partial 16S ribosomal RNA". The record is from RNAcentral.